AAUUGGGAUUUAAAAACAUCUCUAAAAUCCCAAGGGGUGGCCUUCCCUUCAUUGAUAAAAGAAUUUUCUCUUGAAGAUGGGCGUGCCCCUGAUUAGGUAGUUGUUGAGUUAACGGCUCACCAACCCAACGAUCAGUAACUGGCGUGAGAGCGCGACCAGUCACACGGCCACUGAGACACGGGCCCGACUCCUACGGGAGGCAGCAGUAAGGAAUAUUGGUCAAUGGACGCAAGUCUGAACCAGCCAUGCCGCGUGAAGGAUGAAGGCCCUCUGGGUCGUAAACUUCUUUUAUCUGGGACGAAAUCACCUUUUUCUAAGGGUGUUGACGGUACCAGAGGAAUAAGCACCGGCUAACUCCGU
This 360-nucleotide ribosomal RNA is filed under the name oligotrophic bacterium. Its description in RNAcentral is "bacterial SSU rRNA". It matches the Rfam family "Bacterial small subunit ribosomal RNA", at positions 142 to 506 of the family's 1533-position model. The record is from RNAcentral.